UUCUCUACUGUUUGUUGUUGCGUGUUUGUUUUUCUUUGCAGGAGGUGGCAGAGGCUAACGGUGGUGGCAGUGGUAGGCUGGUCAGAAGACGUGGAGGCGCGGUACACAGAGGCUAGGGAGGGUGCAUCGCCACUUGGGGUAGAGAGCUAGGGUUUCUGUUAGGUGUUUAGGUUUUGGGCUGAUUGGGCUGUUAGGGUUUUUUUUUUUUGGGCUUGUAUUUGGGUCUGCUAUUUUUUUGUAAAUGGACUGGAUAUUUGGGAUUUUUUUGGUUUUAUUUAUUAUUUGUAUUUGGUGUUGGGCGCGGGCGAAAUUGGGCCAUUACAGCAGCCCCUUUUUGCUCGUUGUCGUGUAACGAGAAUGGAGCAAAAACUUUUAAGAAGGACCAAUUUUUCCCUGUCUCACCAAAUCUUGACUUCUUAAUGUUCAUCUUCUUCUAGUAGCCUUAUUCUAACCCACCACCACUUCAGGGAGAU
This 473-nucleotide long non-coding RNA is filed under the name Gossypium raimondii (Peruvian cotton). Its description in RNAcentral is "long non-coding RNA (GRAI_LNC001344)". The record is from RNAcentral. Lineage: Eukaryota; Viridiplantae; Streptophyta; Magnoliopsida; Malvales; Malvaceae.